AUUUCUUUUGCUAUGAGGGGAGCAACUCCUCUUUCUCCUCCUUUCCUAGUGGUGGAGGGAGUUUAUUUUUAUUCAUCUAUCUCUGAAAAGCUGACACCUCACAGGCCUCGCCGCUUCUCUGCUCUUCUCUGCUUCACCAUCACCAGUCCCGGGAGGCUCCGAAGUGACUUCGCAGGCCGUCGAAGGUGGGUCGAAUCCGCAGCAGUCACAAGGUUACGGAGGAAUUCUCAACACAUCUGUGGCCAAAGAAUUGAAUUAAGAGAAUUCAACCGAACUCCAGUGGAAAAAAAUAAUUCAACUAUAUAAAGAUAUGU
This is a long non-coding RNA of Ornithorhynchus anatinus (platypus), 314 nucleotides long. RefSeq lists it as uncharacterized. The transcript has 3 exons. NCBI's taxonomy places the organism in Eukaryota, Metazoa, Chordata, Mammalia, Monotremata, Ornithorhynchidae. The record is from RefSeq and is a predicted model, not a curated record.